This 1522-nucleotide long non-coding RNA is filed under the name Monodelphis domestica (gray short-tailed opossum). RNAcentral's name for it is "lncRNA (ENSMODG00000039246.1)". The record is from RNAcentral. Lineage: Eukaryota; Metazoa; Chordata; Mammalia; Didelphimorphia; Didelphidae.
AGGGCCAAGCCUGGACAAGCAGUUGCCUGGCCCUUACCUCUCAUCUUAAUCAAUAUUUAAUAUCGAUUCUAAGACACAAGGCAAGAAGAUGGCAGUUUAGUAGCAGCAAAAGCUGGAAUCACUCCAAGAAUUCUCCUAAGACAGAAGAAUGCAAAAGAAGUUCAUGUUGGAUUUAAUUAGCCUCAGGGCUUGAGGAUGGAAGAAAGGACAGUUCUAGAACUCCAUGUUUUUUCCCUGUUAUGUGGCUGGAAGGUGAGGUGUGGAUGCUCAGUCCUCUUGAGACUACAAACAAGGAAAACCAAAGCAAGAACUAAAAUUCUUGUUAAGCUUUUCAAGGACUUGGAGAAAUUUGGAAACAUCAUGGGUAGAAUUGCCCUAAGGCAGCAUGAUAUUGUGGACAGAAAGUUAGCCUCAAGACCAGGAAGACCUGAAUUCCAAGCCAGUUUCUGGUCUACCUAUAGACAGACCAGGAGUGGUCAUUCAACAGUCUGGAAGUUCCCAGCUCCAAGAUUCACCCACUAGACAUACCUUACUUUAAAAUGCGUGAACCUGCCCUUUAUUUGCACUGAUUUCUCCAUCUUUUUUAUCUCAUCUCAUUUUGUUUCGCAACGUCAAGCAAUCAUGAAACCUUGGUUUGAAGGCAGCCAGAUGCCAAGGUGCAGAGGGCUCAAUAGGAGCCUGCUGUGACAAAAUCCAGUCUUCCCCAUCAGCAUCCAGCCCUGCACUGUGCCUUCUGAUGACAGACUCACAGUGCAACUCACAGUUGCUCUCGUCAGUGAUUUACAAGGAUUCCAAUGGACUGCAUUGCGUGACCAUAAAAUAAUGACAUUGGCUUUGAGAAAGAACAUGACAAAACUUAAAUAUCUAUGUGAAUGCUGUCCCCAUCCAAUCUGCAAAAAAAAAAAAGCAUUUUGAGAUCUCCUUCUAUGCAACUAUUUAUAUAGCACAUAGAAAAAAUCCAGAUGAUUAUAUUCACAGACCACACAGUCUUGGACCUAUGUCAUUUCCACCCCCUUUCUCUCUUUGAUUUGUCCUCUUCCUGCCUCACUACUUGCAGGCACAAGGAACUUGCUUGAUUUUUAGGUUUGUAUCCUCUUCAUUCAUUCAUUCAUUUACCCUAUUUCGUUUUACUCACUUGAUCUUCUGCUGGAAUUCAAAAAUCCCCAGAGAGGAGAGGGUCUCUUGUGUGAGGGCUGGGGCAGGGAGUGAAGGAAGGAGUUACACCAGAAAGCUGGAAGGGAAGGGUAGGCUGUAAGGAUCAGUGAGUUUCAGCGACUCCCCCAGUGUCAUUCAAAUGUCAAGUGGCAGAGUCAGGGUUUGAACCCAGAUCUUUUGACUUCAAAUUUUCUACUGCCCUCACUAAGGUACCUAUGACAUAGGUCCAACUUUGGGGAGUUUUUUGCUGCUAGAAGUAUACCAAAUGGAUAAGAUUUGGGAUAAUGGAUUGAGCACCAUGAAUAUAGCACAUCUAAGUAAAACUCUGGUGUAAAUCAUUAAUAAUAGUUAAUAUUUACAUAGCUCU